Non-coding RNA from Acanthosepion pharaonis, 111 nucleotides. Lineage: Eukaryota; Metazoa; Mollusca; Cephalopoda; Sepiida; Sepiidae. The record is from the annotation of a GenBank genome assembly.
CAGCCACAUCAUGUUGAAACACCAGUUCCUGUAUGAUCACCAAAGUUAAGCAAUGUCUAGCCUGGUCAGUACCUAGAUGGAUGACUACUUAGGAAUACCAGCUGGUGUAAG